GAUGAACGCUGACAGAAUGCUUAACACAUGCAAGUCUUUGGCGAAUCUGUGCUUGCACAGGCUAGCCAAGGCGGACGGGUGAGUAACGCGUAAAGAACUUGCCCUGCAGACAGGGAUAACAGACGGAAACGACUGAUAACACCUGAUACAGUUGCCGGCACGCAUGUGCCUGGCAAUGAAAAGAGAUGCUGCAGGAGAGCUUUGCGUCCUAUUAGCUUGUUGGUGAGGUGACGGCUCACCAAGGCGAUGAUAGGUAGCCGGCCUGAGAGGGUGAACGGCCACAAGGGGACUGAGAUACGGCCCUUACUCCUACGGGAGGCAGCAGUGGGGAAUAUUGGACAAUGGGGGCAACCCUGAUCCAGCAAUUCUGUGUGCACGAAGACGGUUUUCGGAUUGUAAAGUGCUUUCAGCAGGGAAGAAGAAAGUGACGGUACCUGCAGAAGAAGCGACGGCUAAAUACGUG
This 463-nucleotide ribosomal RNA is filed under the name uncultured bacterium. RNAcentral's name for it is "partial 16S ribosomal RNA". It matches the Rfam family "Bacterial small subunit ribosomal RNA", at positions 28 to 507 of the family's 1533-position model. The record is from RNAcentral.